UACGUAGGGUGCUAGCGUUGUUCGGAAUCAUUGGGCGUAAAGCGCGUGUAGGCGGUUAGUUAAGUCGGGUGUGAAAUCCCUAGGCUCAACCAAGGAAGUGCAUCCGAAACUGACUAGCUAGAAGACGGUAGAGGAAGGUGGAAUUCCAAGUGUAGAGGUGAAAUUCGUAGAUAUUUGGAGGAAUACCGGUGGCGAAGGCGGCCUUCUGGGCCGAUCUUGACGCUGAGACGCGAAAGCGUGGGGAGCAAACAGG
Molecule: ribosomal RNA, 253 nt
Filed under: uncultured bacterium
Lineage: Bacteria
Description: partial 16S ribosomal RNA
Rfam family: Bacterial small subunit ribosomal RNA
Source: RNAcentral